AAUCUAUGGUGUGGAUAUUGAACUAAAAGCAAUUUAAAAUGUUCCCAGGCUUCAUGGAAUGGUUCACCUUCAAUUUGAGAGAAAGCGGCUAUUUUACCUCGUAGUUC
Pistacia vera is the source of this 107-nucleotide small nucleolar RNA. The record is from RefSeq and is a predicted model, not a curated record. NCBI's taxonomy places the organism in Eukaryota, Viridiplantae, Streptophyta, Magnoliopsida, Sapindales, Anacardiaceae.